GAUGAACGCUGGCGGCGUGCCUAAUACAUGCAAGUCGAGCGAACAGACGAGGAGCUUGUUCCUCUGGCGUUAGCGGCGGACGGGUGAGUAACACGUGGGUAACCUACCUAUAAGACUGGGAUAACUUCGGGAAACCGAAGCUAAUACCGGAUAAAAUAUUGAACCACAUGGUUCAAGAGUGAAAGACGGUUUUGCUGUAACUUAUGGAUAUAUCCGCUCGGCUUUGGCUAGUUGGUAAGGUAAGGGCUUCCAAAGGCAAGGAUGAGAAGCCACCCUAGAAGGGUAGCCGGCACAACGGGACUGGGACCCCGCCCCAGACCCCUCGGGGAGGAAGCGGAAGGGAAUCUUCCGCAAUGGGGAAAGGCUUAACGGAGCAACGCCGGGGAAGGGAUGAAGGUCUUCGGAUGUUAAAACUCUGUUAUAAGGGAAGACGUAAUGUGUAAGUAACUAUGCACGUAUUGACGGUACCUAAUCAGAAAGCCACGGCUAACUACGUG
This 497-nucleotide ribosomal RNA is filed under the name uncultured bacterium. RNAcentral describes it as "partial 16S ribosomal RNA". It matches the Rfam family "Bacterial small subunit ribosomal RNA", at positions 28 to 507 of the family's 1533-position model. The record is from RNAcentral.